GGGAUUGUAGUUCAAUCGGCCAGAGCGCCGCCCUGUCAAGGCGGAAGCUGCGGGUUCGAGCCCCGUCAGUCCCG
RNAcentral lists this transfer RNA (74 nucleotides) under Geosiris aphylla. RNAcentral describes it as "tRNA-Asp". It matches the Rfam family "tRNA". Rfam says of the family: Transfer RNA (tRNA) molecules are approximately 80 nucleotides in length. Their secondary structure includes four short double-helical elements and three loops (D, anti-codon, and T loops). Lineage: Eukaryota; Viridiplantae; Streptophyta; Magnoliopsida; Asparagales; Iridaceae. The record is from RNAcentral.